RNAcentral lists this ribosomal RNA (321 nucleotides) under uncultured eukaryote. RNAcentral describes it as "partial 18S ribosomal RNA". It matches the Rfam family "Eukaryotic small subunit ribosomal RNA", at positions 1470 to 1796 of the family's 1831-position model. The record is from RNAcentral.
CCCUUAGAUGUCCUGGGCCGCACGCGCGCUACACUGACAUGUUCAACAAGCCUCCUAGUUCGACAGGAUUUGGGAAAUCUUUGAACGCAUGUCGUGAUAGGGAUAGAUCAUUGCAAUUAUUGAUCUUGAACGAGGAAUCCCUAGUAAACGCGAGUCAUCAGCUCGCAUUGAUUACGCCCCUGCCCUUUGUACACACCGCCCGUCGCACCUACCGAUUGAAUGUUUCGGUGAAGAUUCCGGAUAGGACUUUUUUGAUUUAUUUCAAUUUUGUCUUAAAAGCUAUCUAAACCUCAACAUUUAGAGGAAGGUGAAGUCGUAACA